CAAAAAAAAAUUGCUUUUCCAUGGAGGCAUUUAUUUCUGCCUAGUGUAUCUGGUCCAGCAGACCCAUCCAGGUGUUUGUGCAUACUCGGAAGAAUUGUGCGAAAAGAACCAAAUCACCAACCUUCAAUUCUGUUCCUCCACAGCCCUUUCUGUACCCCAAAUCAUUUUACAAAGGACUCUGUGGCGAGCAGAUGAAUAGAUUGUGUAAUGAAAAGGGAUUCAGUAGGCGGGCUUAUAGAAUGGGGCUGCUUAGUCCAAUGGUGGCUGGGUGGAUGAUGGACUGACCAGUAGCUGUUCAGUCUAUGAAGCUGAAUGCCUGAGCUGUCUCAUGCUGGCAGUAAAGACCUGGAAAAUUCGUAAGAGUUGCUGCUAUUUUGCGCAUGUUGGAAGGCUGAAGGAUGUAUCUGGAGGAGUGUGGCCGCAGCACACUCAUAGUAACAGGCACACUUAGCAGUAAGAAAACACUUCCAAGCAGGACAGUAUCUAUGUCCUAGCCAAAAGGCAAAAGGCGCCAUGCAUCCCAUUAGGCCUGUUCUUGAUCAUGACCUUGAUCGAUGCUAUGAUGGGACAUACAGAAGUCACCUUCUCCCAUGAGGGACUGAGACACUAAGUGGUGCCUAUACUUAUCAGUGAGGAAUGUAAAUAAGCUCUCACCCACGUGGACACUGCCCCAGGCCUCUUUUGAGCAUUUCCAUGCAUAAAGGUCCCACCCAACUCAGUGUUAUGUAUAGGUGUCAACAGAAGAGUGAGAGACAAGGAUAGCCAUUAACAGUGAUGUACAGAAGCAGUCCAACCACAGCCAGGUGCAAUCAUGCUUCCACCCAACUAAUAAAUCCACUGAGGCUAGGUUUUUAAAAGUAGAUUAUUAACAGCUAAACUUUUUAAGUAAUGAAGGCAUUCUGUAUGGGGAGGGCACUCCUAGUGGCUGCUAAGUAAAAUCCCAGUGGCUGGGAUGGGAUACCUGCUUUAAUUUGUUGGCCAAGGAGGCUCCUGAAGUACCACAAACCAUAAAAGUUACAGUCACUGCUCCUGGUAUCACACCAAAGCUAGACGGUAAGACCUUGGUGCCUAAGAGCCCACGGCCACUGGUGAAGCUGCUAGGUGAGGGUUGUGGUAUAGGAUCUCAAUGCUUAGUAUGGCUGGCUGUUUAUACCACCCCGCCAAAGUUCAAAAACAUUACAAAACCUAACAGCAAGAGGGACUGCUAACGAUUUCCUUUGCAUUGAAACGGGGGAGGCUGGAGACUUGGGAAGUAAACAACAAACUGAGAAAACUGAGUCUUAAAAGAUUUACCAGGGCUUUCUCGAAGCUUACAAAAGCAGUUACACUUGCGGACAGAAGAGACUUCCUGCCAGAUGAGCUGCCUGCAGGCAUUUCUGGGGACCCAGACUGGAAGUUCCUGUGAGUGGUCACUUAGGCUGGAGUGCAUUUUGAAGAUGCAGCUGUCUAGAAGCUGUCCAUGGUCCUAGGAGUAAUCCUAAUGCAAGAGUCCGUUUGCCUAGCUGGACUUGGGUGGAAUUAUUUUCUGGAGCAUGUAGACGUUUGCAUGUGAGUUCUUUCAUGUCUCUGAAGAUGACUGUUACGGCUGAAGGCUUUGCCACACCGUUUACAUCCAUAGGGUUUUUCUCCAGUAUGGGUUGUUUCGUGCCUCUGGAGAUGACCGUGACAUAUGAAGGCUUUCCCGCAGUCUCUGCAUACAAAGGGUCUGUCUCCAGUAUGAAUUUUUUCAUGUAACUGUAGGUUACUGUGACAUCCAAAGGCUUUGCCACACUCUGUACAAACAAAGGGCCUGUCUCCAGUAUGGAUCUUUUCAUGUAACUCAAGAUUACUGUAACACUCGAAAGAUCUGCCGCACCGCUUGCAUAUGAAGGGUCUGUCUUCAGUGUGAGUCUGUUCAUGUCUCUGGCGAUGGCUGUUCAGUCUAAAGGCUCUGCCACACCGUGUACACUCGUAGGGCUUUUCCCCUGUGUGAAUCUUCUCGUGUACUUGAAGAUCGCUAUGCCGUCUAAAGGCUUUCCCACAGUGUUUACACUCGUGACGUUUUUCUCCCGUGUGAAUUUUUUCAUGUACCUGCAAGGCACCCGGAAAUAUAAACGCUUUCCCACAUCGUUUACAUUCAUAGGGUUUCUCGCCAGUGUGGAUUCGUUCAUGUAAGUGAAGGUAACUGUGGUAUCGAAAGGCUUUCCCGCACUGUUUGCACUUAUAUGGUUUUUUCUCAGUAUGGAUUCUCUCAUGUCUUCGAAGUGAGCUGUACGAACUCAGAGCUUUCCCACAUUGGUUGCACUCGUAACAUUUUCCUCCAGCAUGUGUUCCUCCAUGUGCACAGAGUAAGCUAACUUUCCCAGAGGUCUUUCCGCAUUCCUUGUAUUGAUAGGGAUUUUUUCCACUAUGUGUUUCCUGACGUAUUUCCAAUGUACCUGGAAAACCAAAGUAUUUUAAACAUACUUCACACUCACAUGGCCC
This is a non-coding RNA of Rattus norvegicus (Norway rat), 2463 nucleotides long. The record is from RefSeq and is a predicted model, not a curated record. NCBI's taxonomy places the organism in Eukaryota, Metazoa, Chordata, Mammalia, Rodentia, Muridae.